GCCGACGUAGCUCAGCCGGUAGAGCAGCUGAUUCGUAAUCAGCAGGUCGUGGGUUCAAGUCCCAUCGUCGGCU
Molecule: transfer RNA, 73 nt
Filed under: Desulforamulus hydrothermalis Lam5 = DSM 18033
Lineage: Bacteria; Bacillati; Bacillota; Clostridia; Eubacteriales; Peptococcaceae
Description: Desulfotomaculum hydrothermale Lam5 = DSM 18033 tRNA
Rfam family: tRNA
About the family: Transfer RNA (tRNA) molecules are approximately 80 nucleotides in length. Their secondary structure includes four short double-helical elements and three loops (D, anti-codon, and T loops).
Source: Rfam by way of RNAcentral